RNAcentral lists this ribosomal RNA (498 nucleotides) under uncultured bacterium. RNAcentral's name for it is "partial 16S ribosomal RNA". It matches the Rfam family "Bacterial small subunit ribosomal RNA", at positions 28 to 508 of the family's 1533-position model. The record is from RNAcentral.
GAUGAACGCUGGCGGCGUGCCUAAUACAUGCAAGUCGAGCGAACAGACGAGGAGCUUGCUCCUCUGACGUUAGCGGCGGACGGGUGAGUAACACGUGGAUAACCUACCUAUAAGACUGGGAUAACUUCGGGAAACCGGAGCCAAUACCGGAUAAUAUAUUGAACCGCAUGGUUCAAUAGUGAAAGACGGUUUUGCUGUCACUUAUAGAUGGAUCCGCGCCGCAUUAGCUAGUUGGUAAGGUAACGGCUUACCAAGGCGACGAUGCGUAGCCGACCUGAGAGGGUGAUCGGCCACACUGGAACUGAGACACGGUCCAGACUCCUACGGGAGGCAGCAGUAGGGAAUCUUCCGCAAUGGGCGAAAGCCUGACGGAGCAACGCCGCGUGAGUGAUGAAGGUCUUCGGAUCGUAAAACUCUGUUAUUAGGGAAGAACAAAUGUGUAAGUAACUAUGCACGUCUUGACGGUACCCAAUCAGAAAGCCACGGCUAACUACGUGC